GUCCACGCCGUAACGAUGAAUACUAGGUGUCGGGUUAUAAACCUUCGGUGCCGCAGCUAACGCAAUAAGUAUUCCACCUGGGAGUACGUUCGCAAGAAUGAAACUCAAAGGAAUUGACGGGACCCGCACAAGCGGUGGAGCAUGUGGUUUAAUUCGAAGCAACGCGAAGAACCUUACCAAAUCUUGACAUCCCGAUGACCGGCAUUUAAUUUGCCUUUUCUUCGGGAACAUCGGUGACAGGUGGUGCAUGGUUGUCGU
RNAcentral lists this ribosomal RNA (258 nucleotides) under uncultured bacterium. Its description in RNAcentral is "partial 16S ribosomal RNA". It matches the Rfam family "Bacterial small subunit ribosomal RNA", at positions 793 to 1055 of the family's 1533-position model. The record is from RNAcentral.